GGUGUAGCUCAGUGGUAGAGCGUCUGCUUUGCAUGCAGGAGGUCCUGGGUUCAAUACCUCCACC
RNAcentral lists this transfer RNA (64 nucleotides) under Camelus bactrianus (Bactrian camel). It matches the Rfam family "tRNA". Rfam says of the family: Transfer RNA (tRNA) molecules are approximately 80 nucleotides in length. Their secondary structure includes four short double-helical elements and three loops (D, anti-codon, and T loops). RNAcentral also lists the same sequence under 2 other names. The record is from Rfam by way of RNAcentral. Lineage: Eukaryota; Metazoa; Chordata; Mammalia; Artiodactyla; Camelidae.